RNAcentral lists this ribosomal RNA (1018 nucleotides) under Tigriopus californicus. Its description in RNAcentral is "large subunit ribosomal RNA". The record is from RNAcentral. Lineage: Eukaryota; Metazoa; Arthropoda; Copepoda; Harpacticoida; Harpacticidae.
AAACUUAGGUUAAAUAAACCAAUUAAAUUUCAAAUUUAAUAAUGAGGAAAAUCAGUUUUUAGUUACCAAAAACAAAAUAUUUUUCUUUUUGCAUUAUGAGGUUUUAAAAAUUUUAAAUAAAAUAAGGUUCUAAGUUUUCAUGUCUUAGUUACUGAUGACGCCCGUUUUAAAGGGCCUAAUAAAGUACCUUAAGCAGGAUACCUGAUACUGAAACUUUGUAGUUAUGGUUUACCAAAUUCAUUUUGAAGAAAAGAUUUUCUAAAUAUCAAGAAGGGAUUAGCUUUCUUGAAGCAAAGCGCUAAGCACCUAUAUCUAUUAGAAUGUAACAAUUCAAGGUUAGACAAAAUUUAUAAUAUUAACCAUGUUAAAACUAUUUUAAAAAAUUAAAUCUUUAGUAAAAACAAGGUGAUUCUAAACAGUAAAAAUGUUUUACGUAUUUAUAUCGAUUAAAACUACCGUGCAACUUGGUUUAGGUUAAUCUGUUUGCCAAAUACUUAGGAGAAUAAUCUCUGAAGCUCUGCCCAGUGAUAAAAAUUAAACGGCUUGACAAGGUAGCACAAUCAAUUGUUCUUUAAUUGAGAACCAGAAUGAACGGCUUAAUUAAUUUAAAAACUCAUAUUAGUUUCGUUUAAACUAGUAUUCUGAGUGCAAAUACUCAGACACAAUUCAGGGACGAGAAGACCCUAAAAUCUUAUAUACUUGCUUAGGCCAUUAUAAAGGUUUAAUUGGUUGGGGCAACCUAAUAAAUGUAAAUACUUUUUGCGGCUCAAAAUUGAACUCGGUUACUUAUUACCAAGAUACUUUAGGGAUAACAGCAUUAAGGGCUUUGGAGUUCAUAUCUAUUGUGCCUGAAUGACCUCGAUGUUGAAUUAAGAAACCUUCUACGAGAAAAAGCCUAGAAGUUCAGUCUGUUCGACUGAUAUUUUCUUACAUGAUUUGAGUUAAGAUCGACGUAAGUCAGAUUGGUUUCUAUCUUGAAUUUUACUAUGUUUUAAUUAGUACGAAAGGAAUUUAAAAA